This 298-nucleotide ribosomal RNA is filed under the name uncultured eukaryote. Its description in RNAcentral is "partial 18S ribosomal RNA". It matches the Rfam family "Eukaryotic small subunit ribosomal RNA", at positions 1470 to 1796 of the family's 1831-position model. The record is from RNAcentral.
CCCUUAGACACUCUAGGCGGCACGCGCGCUACAAUGGGUGGAAGAACGUGUUACUGCCUCCGAAAGGAGGGGUGAAUCACGAAUUCUUGCCCGUGAAUGGGAUAGUUUGUUGCAAUUUUCGGACUUGAACUAGGAAUCCCUUGUAAACAUGCUCAAGAAUAGCGUGUUGAAUACGUCCCUGCCGUUUGUACACACCGCCCGUCGUUUCUUCCGACUGAUACUCAUUGUGAGUUGCAAGGACCCUUUAUUGGGAAAUUGCUGCAAAUGCUUUGUAUUGGAGGAAGAAAAAGUCGUAACA